GAUAUGCAAAAUGAAUACAAUGUUGGAGGAGGAAGAAAACUUGGAAGAAAAUGAUAGGUGAGUAACAACAAUGAUUAAAGAGCUGUGAUAAAGAGAGUUAUAAAUCAAGUGGUUUCCAGGUUGCAGAAUUUGGAAAGAGACUUACUUAUGUGAGGAGGCUGAUCUACAAAGGAUGAUGACCAUCUCCAUUAGGGACCAGACAGGAGGCACCAGAUUUAGGUUACAGUAUGAGGGAUUUAGAUAAGAGAAAAGGAAAAAUUUUCAGACAGUGAGAUUUGAUAGACACUGGAAUGUGUAACUGGGGAAGCUUGUGGAAUUUCCUUCUCUAGUGGUCGUUUAAAAAUAGAACAGCAUCUCAUCUGCCCGAAGGAUGGACUCUGUUUGACCUUUCAGAGUAUCCACUGAACUCAGAAGGCACAUACACCUUUGAGAAGGAAGUAAGCUUGAAUUACUGUGGGUAGCUUGUGAUAUGAAAAUAGGGUGAAUAAAUUUCAUGUUUAAUUUGAUUUACCUAUGUCGUAUAUGUAAACUAUGAUGGUUACAGUUCUUCUUACUUUUCCUCUCAGUUGAGUGUUUUCAUUUUUAAGGCUUGGAGAUUAGGGUUUAAGUAAAAAUACUGUAGAGAGGGAAGGAGGAACUCAUCUUACUUAUAGAGCAUAUUUUUACAGGGACAUAGGUAAGGAGAAAAAAACAUUUUGGACAAUUUAAUUUUUAUUACACUUCCUGUUCUAAAUAAACUAAAAAAAAAAAAAAAAAAAAACAAAAAAACCAACACUGACCUUUAUGUUUACUUUAGUAUUUUUAGGGUAAAAUUUAAAAAAGUAAUUUAGUCUACAUGUUUCUUAAAGUUUUUUUGGCAGAAUUGGUAUUCCAAACUGGAAGAGGUUCUCUGUAUUUAAUUUCCUCUCCGGAAGUUUACCUUCAGAAGUCCAAGUGUGAGGUCAAGCCUUGGGUUGCCGGAAAUGGUAAUGUCCUUUACUGUCUGAGCACUCAGACAGCACUUAAUGAAACAUCCUACUUUGUGGACAUUGCUGCUGCUACUUCUGAAUUAUGAGGCUUGCCAUGCAUAACUCCUGCAGUGGAUAGUUUAUUUUUGCAAAGUGCAUGGAAUGAAACUUGUGGGGAUGUAGACUGCAGGCACAGAAAGAUCUAAAUGAAUGUGUAAGAAUGACCACAAGGCACCAGGCGUGGGUGUAUUUAUCCGUUUGUCUCAUUACUAAGAGGUUUUAGUUCCAAAAAAUAUCCGGAAGGAUUUAGUUUAGGGGAAGUGGGGAGGGAGAAGGAGUGGAAUAAAGAUCUUUGAAUUUUUAAACA
Molecule: long non-coding RNA, 1314 nt
Filed under: Sus scrofa (pig)
Lineage: Eukaryota; Metazoa; Chordata; Mammalia; Artiodactyla; Suidae
Description: lncRNA (ENSSSCG00015023875.1)
Source: RNAcentral